AUUGAACGCUGGCGGCAGGCCUAACACAUGCAAGUCGAGCGGAUGAAGGGAGCUUGCUCCUGGAUUCAGCGGCGGACGGGUGAGUAAUGCCUAUGAAUCUGCCUGGUAGUGGGGGAUAACGUCCGGAAACGGGCGCUAAUACCGCAUACGUCCUGAGGGAGAAAGUGGGGGAUCUUCGGACCUCACGCUAUCAGAUGAGCCUAGGUCGGAUUAGCUAGUUGGUGGGGUAAAGGCCUACCACGGCGACGAUCCGUAACUGGUCUGAGAGGAUGAUCACUCACACUGGAACUGAGACCCGGUCCAGACUCCGACGAGAAGCAGCAGUGGGGAAUAUUAGACGAUGGGGGAAAGCCUGAUCCAGCCAUGUCGCGUGUGUGAAGAAGGUCUUCGGAUUGUAAAGCACUUUAAGUUGGGAGGAAGGGCAGUAAGUUAAUACCUUGCUGUUUUGACGUUACCAACAGAAUAAGCACCGGCUAACUUCGUG
RNAcentral lists this ribosomal RNA (484 nucleotides) under uncultured bacterium. Its description in RNAcentral is "partial 16S ribosomal RNA". It matches the Rfam family "Bacterial small subunit ribosomal RNA", at positions 30 to 507 of the family's 1533-position model. The record is from RNAcentral.